CCUACGGGGGGCAGCAGUGGGGGAUAUUGCACAAUGGGGGGAACCCUGAUGCAGCGACGCCGCGUGGGUGAAGAAGCGCCUCGGCGCGUAAAGCCCUGUCAGCAGGGAAGAACAAUGACGGUACCUGACUAAGAAGCUCCGGCUAACUACGUGCCAGCAGCCGCGGUAAUACGUAGGGAGCAAGCGUUAUCCGGAUUUACUGGGUGUAAAGGGCGUGUAGGCGGGCCUGCAAGUCAGAAGUGAAAUCUGGGGGCUUAACCCCCAAACUGCUUUUGAAACUGUGGGGCUUGAGUGAUGGAGAGGCG
Molecule: ribosomal RNA, 305 nt
Filed under: uncultured bacterium
Lineage: Bacteria
Description: partial 16S ribosomal RNA
Rfam family: Bacterial small subunit ribosomal RNA
Source: RNAcentral